AAUGAAAGUUAAAGAACCUACGUGUUUCCAAGAUAAGAGAGAAAAGGAGACUCCCGAGGGCUAUAUGAGGUCAAAGGAAAGAUCAUGGAGCCAAGUCAUUGGAGAAUUGGAUGAAAUAUAUCAAAAUAAGAAAUGGAAACAGCCUAAGCCAUGUGAUCUAGGAAAAGAAGAUUCGCUGUCUUCAAAGCACGAGAAUGGUUACUUUUACAGUGGUGCCCCCUAGUGCCGAUCGGAUUAGACUCACUUUCUAUAUUUGCCAAAAUACAGACCACACAAGAGAAGCAAAAUUUGGAGAAUUUACAAUGUUGGUAACUUUUCCUGCAUUUUCUUUAGCGUAGGAGAGAAUGAAGCAUGUUCCUUUACCAUGAUUCACAAGACCCUUUGUGAAAUGCUUUCCACCCCCACCCCCAGCUUUCCAGCUUCACCUCCACCACUUUCCUGCCAGAACACUUAACUUCAGUUAUUCGGAACAACUUGCCAUUCCUGCUUAGUAAGCUGUCCGCCCCUACCUACCCAUUCCCAUCCUCCUGUCUGCUUAAAGAAUUUAUUCUCCUUCUUCUAGUAUCAGCUGAGGCAUUAUCUCUUCCCCUAGGUUUUCCUGACUCCCCAGAAGACUGAGGCAGCCCCUCCCUCCUCCCUGCUCUCCUCCUCCCAUUGUCCCUCUAGCAUGUCACUCUUUUGUCCCCACCCGGCAUCUUGACUGUGAGUGCAAAUAGUUCAAAAACCUUCUCUAAGGGACGUUUAUAUCUCUCAUGCCUCAAACAGUGCCUAGCACAAGUAAUCACUCAAUGUAAAAAAAAAUCAGUGUAAGGAUGGCUCGCUUGAUAAUAGGAAGAACUGUA
Non-coding RNA from Saimiri boliviensis boliviensis (Bolivian squirrel monkey), 842 nucleotides. The record is from RefSeq and is a predicted model, not a curated record. NCBI's taxonomy places the organism in Eukaryota, Metazoa, Chordata, Mammalia, Primates, Cebidae.